UACGGUGAAUACGUUCCCGGACCUCGUACACACCGCCCGUCAAGACCAUGGAAGCCGGGUGUACCUAAAGCCGGUAACCGUCAAGGAGCCGCCUAGGGUAAAACUGGUGACUGGGGCUAAGUCGUAAACAAGGUACC
Molecule: ribosomal RNA, 137 nt
Filed under: uncultured bacterium
Lineage: Bacteria
Description: partial 16S ribosomal RNA
Rfam family: Bacterial small subunit ribosomal RNA
Source: RNAcentral